AGUGAUGUGCCUGAAAUAAAAGGAUUAUCGUGAUAGGAUAAAUUAUGUAGUAUAUUUACCAUCACUA
RNAcentral lists this transfer RNA (67 nucleotides) under Phyllodromica sp. Phil. Its description in RNAcentral is "tRNA-Ile". The record is from RNAcentral. Lineage: Eukaryota; Metazoa; Arthropoda; Insecta; Blattodea; Ectobiidae.